RNAcentral lists this ribosomal RNA (506 nucleotides) under uncultured Glomeromycotina. Its description in RNAcentral is "partial small subunit ribosomal RNA". It matches the Rfam family "Eukaryotic small subunit ribosomal RNA", at positions 591 to 1092 of the family's 1831-position model. The record is from RNAcentral. Lineage: Eukaryota; Fungi; Glomeromycota.
CCAAUAGCGUAUAUUAAAGUUGUUGCAGUUAAAAAGCUCGUAGUUGAAUUUCGGGAUUGACGUGACGGUCGUGCCUUACGGGGUAUGAACUGUCGCAGUUGAUUUCUCACCUUCUGGAGAAGCUCGAUGUCGUUAAUUGGGUGUCUUGCGGAACCAGGACCUUUACCUUGAAAAAAUUAGAGUGUUUAAAGCAGGCAUUUUGCUCGAAUACAUUAGCAUGGAAUAAUAGAAUAGGACGGCAUGGUUCUAUUUUGUUGGUUUCUAGGAUCACCGUAAUGAUUAAUAGGGAUAGUUGGGGGCAUUAGUAUUCAAUUGUCAGAGGUGAAAUUCUUGGAUUUAUUGAAGACUAACUACUGCGAAAGCAUUUGCCAAGGAUGUUUUCAUUAAUCAAGAACGAAAGUUAGGGGAUCGAAGACGAUCAGAUACCGUCGUAGUCUUAACCAUAAACUAUGCCGACUAGGAAUCAGACGAUGUUAAUUUUUUAAUGACUCGUUUGGCACCUUACG